RNAcentral lists this ribosomal RNA (1905 nucleotides) under Triticum aestivum (bread wheat). RNAcentral describes it as "partial small subunit ribosomal RNA". Lineage: Eukaryota; Viridiplantae; Streptophyta; Magnoliopsida; Poales; Poaceae. The record is from RNAcentral.
AUGAGUAAAUUACUUGCUAUAGUCCUCCUGCUGCUACCUCUUACGAACCAUGGAACCUACUUGGCAACGGCAUGGGAUGAUAAAGAUUUCUUCAAAUACUGCCCACCAUCCCAGUGCAGCCAGCAUGGCCCAGAGAUCAGGUAUCCUUUCUGCCUCGAAUCAAGCAAUAAAUCAUCAUCAUCAUGUGGAUGUGGUGGCAGAACAAUCAGGAAGAUAGCAUGCUCUGGCCAGGACACCAUCCUAGUCCACCCAGUUUUUGGCCCAUACAGUGUCAGCGCCAUAGAUUACAAGCGUUCUUCCAUGAAGAUCACCCCGCUUGUAGACACCUGUUUGGUGCUCCAGCAGAAGCUCAUCAUCUCCAGAAGCUCAUCAUCUCCACAGGUUGAUGUUCUCAACCAUGAGAGGCCAAGUCUUGACCGAUUUUUCCUUUGGAGUUCUACAAACCUAGUACACUGUUCAAGAGAGUUUGCACCUGGUGCUGCCGAUAGGAUUGCUGGCCCACUCUCCUGCAUUAGCAACAUAACCCACUUCUUCUAUUUGGUGGCUGGUUAUGAAGACAUGUCUCUUCUUCCGUUGGACUGCAAGGUCGUCCCAGUCUCAGAUGGUGUCGGUGGCCGUCUGAAACCCAUGUAUUGGAGUUGCGGCCAAAUAUACGACCCACGGUCCUUCAAGGAAGCUGCAAAAACAUUUAUCAAUUCUGUUGAGACCACACUGUGUUGGACUGAUGAUGAUUGCAGAGAGUGUGAGCUCAGUGGGCUACGCUGCGCGUUCAGCUCACAACAGAAUCAAGCAUUCUGUAUGCCUGACGGUUCCCGUAUCAAAGUCAUCGCAGCUACAUCAUCGGUGGCCGCAUUUGUUGUUCUUUUGUUAACGGUGGCCACUGUGCUUUAUCUUUCACUCAAGACAAGAUAUAAUACGGAGAUACAUUUGAGGGUCGAAAUGUUUCUCAAGACAUAUGGAGCAUCGAAACCCACGAGGUACACUUUCUCUGAAGUUAAGAAGAUGGCAAGACGGUUUAAGGAAAAAGUAGGGCAGGGAGGAUUUGGAAGUGUAUACAAAGGCGAGCUACCAAAUGGAGUGCCCGUGGCAGUCAAGAUGCUAGAGAACUCUACAGGAGAGGGACAAGCAUUCAUCAAUGAAGUUGCAACCAUCGGACUAAUCCACCAUGCCAAUAUUGUCCGCCUCCUUGGAUUUUGUUCCGAAGGAAUGAGACGGGCUCUGAUUUAUGAAUUCAUGCCUAAUGAGUCACUAGAGAAAUAUAUUUUCUCUCGUGACUCUGCAAAUUUCCAGCAUCUUCUGGUACCCGACAAGCUGCUAGAUAUUGCUUUAGGCAUUGCCAGAGGAAUGGAGUACUUGCAUCAAGGGUGCAACCAGCGCAUCCUCCACUUUGACAUCAAGCCUCACAAUAUCCUGCUGGACUACAACUUCAAUCCAAAGAUCUCAGACUUUGGCCUUGCAAAGCUGUGCGCAAGGGACCAAAGCAUCGUCACCUUAACAGCAGCAAGAGGCACAAUGGGGUACAUUGCACCAGAGCUAUACUCUCGGAACUUUGGGGGAGUAUCGUACAAGUCACACGUGUACAGUUUCGGCAUGCUGGUGCUAGAAAUGGUAAGCGGGAGGAGGAAUUCAGACCCAAGAAUCGGGAGCCAGGACGAUGUUUACCUCCCAGAGUGGAUCUACGAGAAAGUUAUCAAUGGGGAGGAGUUGGUGCUUACUUUGGAAACGACUCGAGAGGAGAAAGAAAAGGUGAGGCAGCUGGCAAUGGUUGCACUGUGGUGUAUCCAGUGGAACCCAAGAAACCGGCCGUCGAUGACAAAGGUCGUUAACAUGCUAACAGGGAGGUUGCAGAGUCUGCAGAUGCCCCCAAAGCCUUACGUCUCAUAUGAAAAUGAACCUAUGCCAUAA